This 429-nucleotide ribosomal RNA is filed under the name Verrucomicrobiota bacterium. RNAcentral's name for it is "Verrucomicrobia bacterium partial 16S ribosomal RNA". It matches the Rfam family "Bacterial small subunit ribosomal RNA", at positions 355 to 776 of the family's 1533-position model. Lineage: Bacteria; Pseudomonadati; Verrucomicrobiota. The record is from RNAcentral.
UAGGGAAUCUUCCGCAAUGGACGAAAGUCUGACGGAGCAACGCCGCGUGAGUGAAGAAGGAUUUCGGUUCGUAAAACUCUGUUGUUAGGGAAGAAAAAAUGUAUAGUAACUAUAUACAAAAGAGACGGUACCUAACCAGAAAGCCACGGCUAACUACGUGCCAGCAGCCGCGGUAAUACGUAGGUGGCAAGCGUUGUCCGGAAUUAUUGGGCGUAAAGCGCGCGCAGGUGGUUGAGAAAGUCUGAUGUGAAAGCCCACGGCUCAACCGUGGAGGGUCAGUGGAAACUAAUAAACUUGAGUGCAGGAGAGAAAAGUGGAAUUCCGAGUGUAGCGGUGAAAUGCGUAGGGAUUAGGAGGAACACCGGUGGCGAAAGCGGCUUUUUGGCCUGCAACUGACACUGAGGCGCGAAAGCGUGGGGAGCAAACAGG